UGGGGGAUAUUGCACAAUGGGCGAAAGCCUGAUGCAGCGACGCCGCGUGGGGGAUGAAGGCCUUCGGGUUGUAAACUUCUUUUGCUCUGAACAAGGCAUGCUAAUGGGUGUGUUGAGCGUAGGGGUUGAUUAGCGCCGGCUAACUACGUGCCAGCAGCCGCGGUAAUACGUAGGGCGCGAGCGUUGUCCGGAAUUAUUGGGCGUAAAGGGCUUGUAGGUGGCUGGUUGCGUCUGUCGUGAAAGCUCAUGGCUUAACUGUGGGUUUGCGGUAGGUGCGGGCUGGCUUGAGUGCAGUAGGGGAGGCUGGAAUUCCUGGUGUAGCGGUGGAAUGCGCAGAUGUCAGGAGGAAUACCAGUGGCGAAGGCGGGUCUCUGGGCUGUUACUGACACUGAGGAGUGAAAGCAUGGGGAGCGAACAGG
Molecule: ribosomal RNA, 419 nt
Filed under: bacterium
Lineage: Bacteria
Description: partial 16S ribosomal RNA
Rfam family: Bacterial small subunit ribosomal RNA
Source: RNAcentral